GACGAACCGUGCGAACGUUGUUCGGAUUCACUGGGCUUAAAGGGCGCGUAGGCGGUCGUUCAAGUCGGGGGUGAAAUCUUUCAGCUCAACUGGAAAAUAGCCUCCGAUACUGGGCGGCUCGAGGGGGAUAGGGGCGCGCGGAACUUCCGGUGGAGCGGUGAAAUGCGUAGAUAUCGGAAGGAACGCCGGUGGCGAAAGCGGCGCGCUGGAUCCCUUCUGACGCUGAUGCGCGAAAGCCAGGGGAGCGAACGGG
Molecule: ribosomal RNA, 253 nt
Filed under: uncultured bacterium
Lineage: Bacteria
Description: partial 16S ribosomal RNA
Rfam family: Bacterial small subunit ribosomal RNA
Source: RNAcentral